Molecule: ribosomal RNA, 705 nt
Filed under: Bacillus sp. BNR231
Lineage: Bacteria; Bacillati; Bacillota; Bacilli; Caryophanales; Bacillaceae
Description: bacterial SSU rRNA
Rfam family: Bacterial small subunit ribosomal RNA
Source: RNAcentral
AGAGUUUGAUCCUGGCUCAGGAUGAACGCUGGCGGCGUGCCUAAUACAUGCAAGUCGAGCGAACUGAUUAGAAGCUUGCUUCUAUGACGUUAGCGGCGGACGGGUGAGUAACACGUGGGCAACCUGCCUGUAAGACUGGGAUAACUUCGGGAAACCGAAGCUAAUACCGGAUAGGAUCUUCUCCUUCAUGGGAGAUGAUUGAAAGAUGGUUUCGGCUAUUACUUACAGAUGGGCCCGCGGUGCAUUAGCUAGUUGGUGAGGUAACGGCUCACCAAGGCAACGAUGCAUAGCCGACCUGAGAGGGUGAUCGGCCACACUGGGACUGAGACACGGCCCAGACUCCUACGGGAGGCAGCAGUAGGGAAUCUUCCGCAAUGGACGAAAGUCUGACGGAGCAACGCCGCGUGAGUGAUGAAGGCUUUCGGGUCGUAAAACUCUGUUGUUAGGGAAGAACAAGUACAAGAGUAACUGCUUGUACCUUGACGGUACCUAACCAGAAAGCCACGGCUAACUACGUGCCAGCAGCCGCGGUAAUACGUAGGUGGCAAGCGUUAUCCGGAAUUAUUGGGCGUAAAGCGCGCGCAGGCGGUUUCUUAGGUCUGAUGUGAAAGCCCCACGGCUCAACCGUGGAGGGGCCAUUGGAAACUGGGGGAACUUGAGUGCAGAAGAGGAAAAGCAGAAUCCCACGUGUUACCGGCAGAAAUC